This 167-nucleotide small RNA is filed under the name Tumebacillus flagellatus. RNAcentral's name for it is "c-di-AMP sequence". It matches the Rfam family "c-di-AMP riboswitch aptamer (ydaO/yuaA leader)". Rfam says of the family: This family represents a conserved RNA structure found upstream of the ydaO and yuaA genes in Bacillus subtilis and related genes in other bacteria. Lineage: Bacteria; Bacillati; Bacillota; Bacilli; Caryophanales; Alicyclobacillaceae. The record is from Rfam by way of RNAcentral.
AUUGAAUCACGGCCUAAAUUCGAGAAAUCGGAUACGGAGGACCCAAUCAAGUGGGGUUAAUCCUGCGCGUCUUGCGUUUGUGCAUGACCGCGCGGGAGGGAUGAGUGAAGUCAGCUUCUCUGCCAUCCUACCCGUCAGCUAACUUCGUCGGCUAAAGCAGGGAAGGU